UGAAUGGUGGAACGAGGCUUAACUGUCUCCCCUUUCAAGUCAAUGAAAUUGAUCUGCCCGUGCAGAAGCGGACAUAUAAAUACAAGACGAGAAGACCCUUUGGAGCUUAAGAUACAAGAUCAACUAUGUCAAUGAAUCAUAAAACUAAAUAGCACCUGAUCCCAAUCUUCAGUUGGGGCGACCACGGGAUAAAAUAAAGCUCCCACGCGGACCGGGUAACCACCCCAAAACCAAGAGAAACACCUCUAAGUCGCAGAAUUUCUGACCAAAAAGAUCCGGCCCCCCGCCGACCAACGAACCAAGUUACCCUAGGGAUAACAGCGCAAUCCCCUUUCAGAGUCCAUAUCGACAAGGGGGUUUACGACCUCGAUGUUGGAUCAGGACAUCCUAAUGGUGCAG
Molecule: ribosomal RNA, 399 nt
Filed under: Noturus insignis (margined madtom)
Lineage: Eukaryota; Metazoa; Chordata; Actinopteri; Siluriformes; Ictaluridae
Description: partial 16S ribosomal RNA
Rfam family: Bacterial large subunit ribosomal RNA
Source: RNAcentral